This 373-nucleotide ribosomal RNA is filed under the name uncultured organism. RNAcentral's name for it is "partial 16S ribosomal RNA". It matches the Rfam family "Bacterial small subunit ribosomal RNA", at positions 527 to 896 of the family's 1533-position model. The record is from RNAcentral.
GUAGGUGGCAAGCGUUGUCCGGAAUUAUUGGGCGUAAAGCGCGCGCAGGCGGUUCUUUAAGUCUGAUGUGAAAGCCCACGGCUCAACCGUGGAGGGUCAUUGGAAACUGGAGAACUUGAGUACAGAAGAGGAAAGCGGAAUUCCACGUGUAGCGGUGAAAUGCGUAGAGAUGUGGAGGAACACCAGUGGCGAAGGCGGCUUUCUGGUCUGUAACUGACGCUGAGGCGCGAAAGCGUGGGGAGCAAACAGGAUUAGAUACCCUGUUAGUCCACGCCGUAAACGAUGAGUGCUAAGUGUUAGGGGGGUUUUCCGCCCCCCUUAGUGCUGCAGCUAACGCAUUAAGCACUCCGCCUGGGAUACGGCCGCAAGGCUG